This 86-nucleotide transfer RNA is filed under the name alpha proteobacterium AAP38. RNAcentral's name for it is "tRNA-Leu". It matches the Rfam family "tRNA". From Rfam's summary of the family: Transfer RNA (tRNA) molecules are approximately 80 nucleotides in length. The record is from RNAcentral. Lineage: Bacteria; Pseudomonadati; Pseudomonadota; Alphaproteobacteria. RNAcentral also lists the same sequence under 2 other names.
GCCUGCUUGGCGGAAUGGUAGACGCCACAGACUUAAAAUCUGUUGUCCUCCGGGGCGUACCGGUUCGAGUCCGGUAGCAGGCACCA